AGAGUGGCCCAGCCCACCAGAUCUCCAGGGCAGCCCUGCCAGCCCGGCUCAGGCUGGCCCAGCUUGGCCACUCACGCACCAUGAAGUACCCGCUGGUGCCGCUGGUGAACGACCUCACGUUUUCUUUCCUGGUGCUCUGGCUCGGCCUGCCCGUGGCCUUGCUGUUGUUCUUGUUGAUCGUCUGGUUUCGCUUCUUACUUAGCCAAGAUUCAGAGGAAAAUGACCCAGAUUUAUGGUUCGAUUGGGACCCCUGGAGCAAAGACCCAGCCGAGUCUCACUGGCACGAGACACUCCACAGCCAAGAGGAAGAGAGGCCUGGCCAGUGAGCCUGCCCUGACAGACCCAACCUGCCGUCUGUCCCCAGCUCGGUUUUCCUGGAGUCAGCGGCGCGGCAGCAGGGGACGAAGUGGAUGGGAGGGAGGAGGACUCAGGCGAGUGAGGGGCUUCCCUGAGCCGCCUGCCUCAUCUCCUGCAACAAUGGACACACAGCCCCCAAGGAUCCCCCGGAGGAUCCCCGGGGCCCCCGGGGAGCAGCCCACAUCUGUGAGGACAGUGUGGGAAAACUGAGGCACGGAGUAGUCAAGUAACUUGUUGAGUCGAAGUGGUGGAGUCGGGAUUUGAACCUAAGUCCUGUGACUCCAGAGCCCAACCCUGACCCACUGGGCUCACUGUUUUCCAGACUGGACUGUUGCGGGGAGCUGUGGGGAGGCACGCUGAAGAAACCCCAGUCGGUCCUUGCACCCCCCCUGGCCACCCCAGAGGCAGCGGGGUUGGCGGACUGUAGAGGGGGCCAGCCCUCCAGGGAAUCACCAGGCAUCACCUUCACUCCCUGCUUCUCUCUCACCACACAACCCACCAGGCUCCACUGGCCUUUUCAGUUGUCUACCAGAGACAGAAUGGAGCCGAAUGGUUAGCUGGUCUCCCGGACCUUGGUGUCCCUGCUCGGCCCUGCUGGCAUGAACGGUCCAUCCAAAGCACAGAUCAGAACCUUCGGUCUCGCAGCUCUGGCUCCGGGCGAAUGCCCGAGUUCCUCUCGGGGAGAGAGCGCCACCCUUUGGCGCCUGAGCCUGGCUGAAGUGGCUGGGCGAGGUUUCUGUUCUUACCAGCCAGGCUGCAGGAAACACCCUUGACCUUCUGCCUCUGCACACAGCUGUCUCCGGGACAAACUCUGAAAGGAGAAAGUGUCCAAUGGAAGCUCUAUGCAAUGCCAGUUUGCAGAUACUGUGAAGGUCUCUUACUGAAAGGUGGCCCCAGGAGUAUACCUAAAAGGGCCCAUUUCCCCUGGCCUUUGCCCCACUGUGCACCCCUGACACGCACGCAACACACUCGCCCGGCUCCUGCAUGUGCCUUGUUCUGGCGCAUGAGCAUUUGUCAACCCUGUGUUCUCCUGGGAGCUUUCCGGGCGUUGAAUAAACACUUUUGGUAACAAACUUC
Phyllostomus discolor (pale spear-nosed bat) is the source of this 1434-nucleotide RNA transcript. It is a transcript of the gene named adipogenin, with no coding region annotated. The record is from RefSeq and is a predicted model, not a curated record. The transcript has 4 exons. Lineage: Eukaryota; Metazoa; Chordata; Mammalia; Chiroptera; Phyllostomidae.